Molecule: ribosomal RNA, 253 nt
Filed under: uncultured bacterium
Lineage: Bacteria
Description: partial 16S ribosomal RNA
Rfam family: Bacterial small subunit ribosomal RNA
Source: RNAcentral
UACGUAGGGUGCGAGCGUUAAUCGGAUUUACUGGGCGUAAAGCGUGCGCAGGCGGUUCGUUAUGUCCGAUGUGAAAGCCCCGAGCUCAACUUGGGAAUGGCAUUGGAAACUGGCGGGCUGGAGUGUGGCAGAGGGGGGUGGAAUUCCACGUGUAGCAGUGAAAUGCGUAGAGAUGUGGAGGAACACCGAUGGCGAAGGCAGCCCCCUGGGCCAACACUGACGCUCAGGCACGAAAGCGUGGGGAGCAAACAGG